AGUGGGGAAUUUUCCGCAAUGGGCGCAAGCCUGACGGAGCAAUACCGCGUGAGGGAGGAAGGCUCUUGGGUCGUAAACCUCUUUUAUCAGGGAAGAAAUCAAUGACGGUACCUGAUGAAUCAGCAUCGGCUAACUCCGUGCCAGCAGCCGCGGUAAUACGGAGGACGCAAGCGUUAUCCGGAAUUAUUGGGCGUAAAGCGUCCGCAGGUGGUUUUGAAAGUUUGCUGUCAAAGCGUCUAGCUUAACUAGAUACAGGCAGUGAAAACUACAAGACUAGAGUUUGGUAGGGGUCACGGGAGUUCCCAGUGUAGCGGUGAAAUGCGUAGAGAUUGGGAAGAACACCAGCGGCGAAAGCGCGUGACUGGGCCUGAACUGACACUCAUGGACGAAAGCUAGGGGAGCGAAAGGGAUUAGAUACCCCUGUAGUCCUAGCCGUAAACGAUGACAACUAGGUGUUGCCCGUAUCGAC
This 469-nucleotide ribosomal RNA is filed under the name unidentified cyanobacterium IL-12.3. RNAcentral's name for it is "bacterial SSU rRNA". It matches the Rfam family "Bacterial small subunit ribosomal RNA", at positions 353 to 836 of the family's 1533-position model. The record is from RNAcentral. Lineage: Bacteria; Bacillati; Cyanobacteriota.